RNAcentral lists this unclassified non-coding RNA (433 nucleotides) under soil metagenome. Its description in RNAcentral is "partial contains 5.8S ribosomal RNA, internal transcribed spacer 2, and large subunit ribosomal RNA". The stretch from base 1 to 120 matches the Rfam family "5.8S ribosomal RNA", at positions 35 to 154 of the family's 154-position model. The record is from RNAcentral.
GAUGAAGAACGCAGUGAAAUGCGAUACGUAAUGUGAAUUGCAGAAUUCAGUGAAUCAUCGAAUCUUUGAACGCAUAUUGCGCUCUCUGGUAUUCCGGAGAGCAUGCUUGUUUGAGUAUCAGUAAACACCUCAACUCCCUUUUCUUUUUUGAAAUGGGAGCUGGACUUGAGUGAUCCCAACACUUUUCUCACUGGAAAGUGGCGGGUCACUUGAAAUGCAGGUGCAGCUGGACUUUUCUCUGAGCUAUAAGCAUAUCUAUUUAGUCUGCCUAAAAAACAGAUUAUUACCUUUGCUACAGCUAACAUAAAGGAGAUGAGUUCUUGUGCUGACUGAUGCAGGAUUCACAGAGACAGCUUUGCGGCUGACUUUGUAAACUCGAUCUCAAAUCAAGUAAGACUACCCGCUGAACUUAAGCAUAUCAAUAAGCGGAGGA